Molecule: ribosomal RNA, 488 nt
Filed under: uncultured Propionibacterium sp.
Lineage: Bacteria; Bacillati; Actinomycetota; Actinomycetes; Propionibacteriales; Propionibacteriaceae
Description: partial 16S ribosomal RNA
Source: RNAcentral
CACGUAGUUAGCCGGUGCUUCUUUACCCAUUACCGUCACUCACGCUUCGUCACAGGCGAAAGCGGUUUACAGCCCGAAGGCCGUCAUCCCGCACGCGGCGUUGCUGCAUCAGGCUUCCGCCCAUUGUGCAAUAUUCCCCACUGCUGCCUCCCGUAGGAGUCUGGGCCGUAUCUCAGUCCCAAUGUGGCCGGUCACCCUCUCAGGCCGGCUACCCGUCAAAGCCUUGGUAAGCCACUACCCCACCAACAAGCUGAUAAGCCGCGAGUCCAUCCCCAACCGCCGAAACUUUCCAACCCCCACCAUGCAGCAGGAGCUCCUAUCCGGUAUUAGCCCCAGUUUCCUGAAGUUAUCCCAAAGUCAAGGGCAGGUUACUCACGUGUUACUCACCCGUUCGCCACUCGAGCACCCCACAAAAGCAGGGCCUUUCCGUUCGACUUGCAUGUGUUAAGCACGCCGCCAGCGUUCGUCCUGAGCCAGGAUCAAACUCU